RNAcentral lists this ribosomal RNA (392 nucleotides) under uncultured bacterium. RNAcentral's name for it is "partial 16S ribosomal RNA". It matches the Rfam family "Bacterial small subunit ribosomal RNA", at positions 523 to 918 of the family's 1533-position model. The record is from RNAcentral.
AUACGGAGGAUGCGAGCGUUAUCCGGAUUUAUUGGGUUUAAAGGGAGCGUAGGCGGGAGCUUAAGUCAGCGGUUAAAUGGUGCGGCUCAACCGUGCCCUGCCGUUGAAACUGGGUUUCUUGAGAGUGCAAGAGGCGGAUGGAAUUCAUGGGGUAGCGGUGAAAUGCUUAGAUAUCAUGAAGAACUCCGAUUGCGAAGGCAGUCCGCUGGGGCACGUCUGACGCUGAUGCUCGAAGGUGCGGGAAUCAAACAGGAUUAGAUACCCUGGUAGUCCGCACGGUAAACGAUGAUUACCCGCUGUCGGCGGUAGACAGUCGGCGGCCAAGCGAAAGCGAUAAGUAAUCCACCUGGGGAGUACGCCGGCAACGGUGAAACUCAAAGGAAUUGACGGGG